GCUGCCCUGUGUUGGACCGCAGGGAGUUCAUGAGUCUUUUUUGUCCGUUCUUAUGUUCGAGGCCAAAGAAGAAGUGAGAGGGAGCAUCCAUCUUGGCAACAUGCUGGAACCGGGAGCGAACCAGAGCACCUUGAGCAGAAAAACCCAACAGAUUUUGACCCGACAACUGAUGAACAUCUUCUAUGAAACUGCAGUUCAUGCCUCCGCCACUGAGGGUGCAGAGAGGGACAUUGCACUCACAAUCAUGG
Molecule: long non-coding RNA, 248 nt
Organism: Hippoglossus stenolepis (Pacific halibut)
Lineage: Eukaryota; Metazoa; Chordata; Actinopteri; Pleuronectiformes; Pleuronectidae
Exons: 3
Source: RefSeq, a predicted model, not a curated record